RNAcentral lists this long non-coding RNA (798 nucleotides) under Homo sapiens (human). Its description in RNAcentral is "HSALNT0278125". The record is from RNAcentral. Lineage: Eukaryota; Metazoa; Chordata; Mammalia; Primates; Hominidae.
CUACUCGGGAGGCUGAAGCAGGAGAAUGGCUUGAACCUGGGAAGUAGAGGUUGCAGUGAGCCGAGAUCACACCACUGUACUCUAGCCUGGGCAACGAGAGUGAAACUCCAUCUCAAAAAAAAAAAAAAAAAAAAGUGAGGAGGGCUCACAGUGUGGCAAGUGCUUCAAAAUACAAGGAAGCCAAAAGGACAACCACUGGAUAUGGUAACAUCAAUCACUGGAGACCCUGGCGAUUUUAGCAGAGUAAAGAAGACAGAAGACAGAUUGGAGUAUGCCAAGGAGGGAAUAGGAUGUAAGAAAGCAAAGACACUGAGACAAUACUCUGGAUAAGUUUUGUUGUGAAGAGGCAGAGAAAAUGGCACAGCGGAUGGCUGGGAGGCAAAGGAUCAACAAAGAAGGGUAUAACUGCAGAAACAAGUGCUCGUAUUAUAACUUUACACUCCACUGAAAUUAGUUUUUUCAAACUAUAUGAAUUUCUUAAGAGCAGAAUUUCCUAUUUUCUACCUUUUCUCUGUAUCAUAGUGUCAGAGGCGUUUGAACCAGAGCAACUCCAUCUUCAGUAGGGGUUUGGUAAAAUAAGGCUAAGACCUACUGGGCUACAUUCCCAGUAAGUUAAGGCAGUCUUAAUCACAGAAUGAAAUAGGAAGUCAGCACAAAAUGCAGGACACAAAAACCCUGCUAAUAAAACAGGUAGGUUAUAGUAAAGAAGCUGACCAGCUGGGUGCGGUGGCUCAUGCCUGUAAUCCCAGCGCUUUGGGAGGCUGAGGCGGGCAGAUCACCUGAGGUUGGGAGUUCGAG